CCUACGGGAGGCAGCAGUGAGGAAUAUUGGUCAAUGGGCGGAAGCCUGAACCAGCCAUGCCGCGUGAAGGUCAGUGCCCUUUGGGCUUUAAACUUCUUUUGUGCGGGAGCAAUAAUGGUCACGUGUGGCCAGACGAGAGUACCGUACGAAUAAGGAUAGGCUAACUCCGUGCCAGCAGCCGCGGUAAUACGGAGGAUCCGAGCGUUAUCCGGGUUUAUUGGGUUUAAAGGGUGCGUAGGCGGUUUGAUAAGUUAGAGGUGAAAUGUCGGGGCUCAACCACGAGACUGCCUCUAAUACUGUUGGUCUAGAGAAUAGGAGAGGUAGGCGGAAUGUAUGGUGUAGCGGUGAAAUGCUUAGAGAUCAUGCAGAACACCGAUUGCGAAGGCAGCUUACCAAACUACAUCUGACGUUGAGGCACGAAAGCGUGGGUAGCAAACAGGAUUAGAUACCCUAGUAGUC
RNAcentral lists this ribosomal RNA (459 nucleotides) under uncultured bacterium. RNAcentral describes it as "partial 16S ribosomal RNA". It matches the Rfam family "Bacterial small subunit ribosomal RNA", at positions 338 to 795 of the family's 1533-position model. The record is from RNAcentral.